Suricata suricatta (meerkat) is the source of this 212-nucleotide long non-coding RNA. RefSeq lists it as uncharacterized. The record is from RefSeq and is a predicted model, not a curated record. The transcript has 3 exons. NCBI's taxonomy places the organism in Eukaryota, Metazoa, Chordata, Mammalia, Carnivora, Herpestidae.
GCCAGCAACUGAAAUCUCUGAAGAAAGCUCACGUGAGAAGGAGCGUACUUCAGGGGACUCCAAGAGGUAUUUUGCAGGAGGGCUCUGAUUGUGGAAAUAUGCAGAGAUAUGGACAGAACAGCCACAUCAAGUGACAUGAAGACUAAGGAAAACAGAAUGGGCUCCUCAUGGCGUGGCAGUGGCUCUUGGAGGCACCUAUGGGGAAAGGAUGG